AGGACGAACGCUGGCGGCGUGCUUAACACAUGCAAGUCGAGCGGAAAGGCCCUUCGGGGUACUCGAGCGGCGAACGGGUGAGUAACACGUGAGUAACCUGCCCUUCACUUUGGGAUAACCCUCGGAAACGGGGGCUAAUACCGGAUAUGACUGCCUUGCGCAUGUGGGGUGGUGGAAAGUUUUUCGGUGGGGAUGGGCUCGCGGCCUAUCAGCUUGUUGGUGGGGUAAUGGCCUACCAAGGCGACGACGGGUAG
This 254-nucleotide ribosomal RNA is filed under the name uncultured bacterium. RNAcentral describes it as "partial small subunit ribosomal RNA". It matches the Rfam family "Bacterial small subunit ribosomal RNA", at positions 26 to 286 of the family's 1533-position model. The record is from RNAcentral.